This 301-nucleotide ribosomal RNA is filed under the name uncultured bacterium. Its description in RNAcentral is "partial 16S ribosomal RNA". It matches the Rfam family "Bacterial small subunit ribosomal RNA", at positions 509 to 807 of the family's 1533-position model. The record is from RNAcentral.
CAGUCGCCACGGGAAUACAGAGGGUGCGAGCGUUAAUCGGAUUUACUGGGCGUAAAGCGUGCGUAGGCGGCUUCUUAAGUCGGAUGUGAAAUCCCUGAGCUUAACUUAGGAAUUGCAUUCGAUACUGGGAAGCUAGAGUAUGGGAGAGGAUGGUAGAAUUCCAGGUGUAGCGGUGAAAUGCGUAGAGAUCUGGAGGAAUACCGAUGGCGAAGGCAGCCAUCUGGCCUAAUACUGACGCUCAGGUGCGAAAGCGUGGGGAGCAAACAGGAUUAGAUACCCGGGUAGUCCCUGUCUCUUAUAC